RNAcentral lists this long non-coding RNA (686 nucleotides) under Homo sapiens (human). RNAcentral's name for it is "non-protein coding lnc-ITGB8-2:16". The record is from RNAcentral. Lineage: Eukaryota; Metazoa; Chordata; Mammalia; Primates; Hominidae.
AAGAAGAAAGGGGAAGCAGGUGGAAAAGCAAUUAAAAAAAAAUCAGCAUCUCUCUCUAGCCUAUUAUCUCCUGUUAGACACAGCCCAGAAAAUGAAUAGAGACAAGUCCUGGCUGGGUCUGGGUUCAGAAACAUAAUAGAAGGAUUCAUCUAAUCUGUCGGCCACUGUGGAGGAAGUGAACCUUCUAGAUCCUGCUGACUCAUACAAUGAGUUUUGUGUGGACCAUCAGACAAAAGGGCUGGCUGGUGAAGGUGGCUGUUGUCUGGAAAUUCCUCCCAGCUCUCCUCUAAUUAUGUCAUAAGGACUGGAGGCCCCUUAGCCUGCUUGUGAUAACACGCAAGGAAAUAUGGGCCAACUCUUCACAUGAACACAAGAUAUUUCCAUGCUAGCCUUUUGCAAGUAACAACAGAGAGAGCUCUGUGCAGUUUUCACUGGAAUGCCUGUGGAUUGCUUGUGUCAUAACUGUAAUCUAAAGAGUUGUCCAUUUGUUGAUUCCUUUGUAUUUGUAUUGGUAGAAUUGCCACUAUCAAACCAAGAUCUUUAGCUGCCUUUGUAUCAACUUCUUUGGAGCUUAUGUGAUUUUCCAGAAAAUUUCCAAGGCAUAGUUUUGUCCCUAAGUCCCAUGAAUAUGUAAUAUUUUGUGUCUCUCUAUUAAAAUAGCACUUUUUGUGCAUUCCAUUAACAAA